RNAcentral lists this ribosomal RNA (114 nucleotides) under Periophthalmus magnuspinnatus. The record is from RNAcentral. Lineage: Eukaryota; Metazoa; Chordata; Actinopteri; Gobiiformes; Gobiidae.
UUUGGCUCUCGUAGUGCCACUGUACCUCCUGGGUCUCGUCUGAUCUCAGAAGCUAAGCAGGGUCGUGCUUGGUUAGCACUGAGGUGGGAGACCCCUGUGGCCCUAGUGCUUAUU